UCUAAGCUUUGUGGUGACUGGUGAGUGGUGGCGACUGGCAUGUGUCGUCUGUGGUGGCGUGGGUGGCACAGAUUAAUAGAUACCACCAUAGAAUACAAUGUGAUGGAUACCACUUCAUACCACGUAAUCAUCCAUAAUACACUGUAAUCUUUGGUAUCAUCUGUGAUAUGUGAUGUGAUGUGAUACGUAGUGGUACGUGGGUAGCGUGGCGUGAUGUGAUGGAUUUGUGGUCUGUGAUGGUGACUGUACGUAGUAUCUUAAUCUGUGGUGAUGACUGGUCUGGCUCUGGUGUCAAAAAUAGAAAAUCAUCAAAAAAAAAAGGCGUGGCGCUGGCGUCAUGGCGUGGCGUGGUUUUAAAUUUCUUAUUUCGUCUCUCUCUCUCGUCUCGUGGUCUCUACAAACUCAAAGGGUAUGGUUUGAUAAUUCAUAUAAAAUAUGGUGAAUUUCGAUGCAUAUAUUAAACAGCCGUUUUAUUCGAAAUGUAAAUAAAUUCAGAAAUAUUGCAUGAAAUACGUGGUUAAGGUUAUAGCUGAAUUACAUACAGGUCUAAUAGUAAGUAAAUAUAUUCUAAAUAAUUUAACAACUUUUUGUAUAAUCCGUAACAGCCUAUUUAUCGGCCCAAUAAAUAGAGAACCAGGUCUCCUUGUAUAUAAGAGAGGAUAUGAAGCUUAAACCCACCACGCUGCUCAAAUGCGGGUUGGUGGGCUCAAAGUGAUAAUGUUAAAUUUAUUUAUUAAUGUCCAUUAUUAGAUGUUUAUAUAGACGACCUCUUGUUUUCAUUCCAAUGGCAUAAUGUAUUGUACUCAGUGUCCUUAGACUUAUUACUCUCAGCUCACUGAUCGUGUUAAAACUUUUGUGCAUCGUUUUUACACAAGGUUUGCGCGAUUGCGAAAUACUGCAUUAUUUUGAUUUAGACUACUUCCAUCUAACAUAUGAUGACAGUGAAACAUUAUACUUCAUAAUGACGCAGAAGUUAGUUUUUGAUUCUAAUUCUUUGAACUCCCACAGGGCCUCUACCUUGUUCUCAUCUCAGUAGCCCAGGUCUCAUCAACGCAAAUUCUUGGUAUCACGUUGGAACGGAAGGAAGAGCAGAGAUUGUCACUUAUUAUAUCACUUAUUAAGGCCAAGUUUCAACCUAGGUACUGUGGUUGAAAAGAUUACCAUAGAACAUAAAGCAAUGAUGAACAUGAACAAUGCAACAUCUGAAGUUUAUGUGGACAGCAUUAGUGGUCAUAACAUACAAUUCAUAGUGGUCAGCUCCUAACUUUGUUAGCAUUUACACUGAUAAAGAGGAACAGAUAGCAGCAAAAGAAUUUGUAAUGAGAUGUUGCAACAGUAGUCAAUAAGAUAUAUGAAGAUAACUUAAGUAUCAGUGUACCUAAUUAAACAGGAAUACUCUGCAAUGAACAUAAAGUUAUAAGAGUGGCAUGGCGUGCCAUGGAGUCCUGUGGAGGGCAUCACUUAUAGCCUCAUCCAGUACGCAGUGGCCUCACUGGGUGAGGCUAUAUGUGAAGCUCUUCAGUGGAAAGCAGCAGCUCCCUACACUUCAGUUGGAGAACAAGUGACCUGAACUGUUCCAUGCAAAAUGAAACAAAGGUGUCCCUAAACCAAAGUGUACAUCCAAAGGUAACACCUUUAGAUGUACAAUUAGUUUUGGGGACAUAAAUUAUGCAAGAAAUAUUUAUAAUGAAAAUGAGUAUGCAUCUCCCGGUGAGUCUUGACAUUUAUCACAUUUACUUUGUAGAUGGAUAGAAAUAUUAUGAAUGUGUUUGGCUGAAGGCUGGCAAUUAUUGUACAUCAUAUAGAGGUAUCAGUGUAUCUAAACAGGAAUACGCCGCAUUUAACAUAAAGUCGGAAGAGUGGCAUGGCGAGUGGAGUGGAGGGCAUCACUUAUAGCCGCAUCCAGUGGCCUCACUGGGUAGCUUUUCAUUGGAAUGCAUCAUCAACUUUCUACACUUCACUUGCAGAACACGUGACCGGAACUGUUCCAUGAAGAGUGAAACAAAGGUGUCCUUAAACCAAAGUGUACAUGUAAGGUCCACACCUUUAGAUGUGCAAUUAGUUUUGGGGACAUAAUUGCGCAAGAAAAUGUUUAUAAUGAAAAGGAGCAUGCAUCUCCCGGUGAGUCUGACAUAUUUUAUCGUACUUUGUAGAUGGAUAGAAAUGAUUUUCAAUUUAACCAACUUGGUUCUUUUCGUAAAACUUACCUUAUACUAAACGUUUUGGUUUCGGCUGAAACAAACUGAAAUUUCGGUCGGACAGUAGGUAUCAAUUUGUAAUGUGAUAAAAUAAUGGCAAUCUAUACUUAAUUUAAGUAUAGAUUGCCAUUAUUUUAAUGGUACACCGAUGUACUUAAUAAUCCUGCUGAUCCAGGCAGGUACACCAAUUUAUUUUAAUCAAAAUAAUCAAAUCAAAAUAAAAAGUGAUUAUUAAGUAAUUCAAAAGUGUUUUAUUUAUCAGACCUCUUGUGAAAAAUUUAUAGUUAAUAGUAAAUAGUUACCCACGGCUAGGUUGGUUCUAGGCGAUUCAGAUAUCGCAGUGGACAAGGGGUGCUAUCCCUGGGCAAAGAGGACUGGCGUAAGCCUUAUGUAAAUUUGUACCUAAGUAACUCAGAUCGUGUCGCGAUCGCGAUAUGGAAAAGUAAGUUGCUAAAAUUUUGCAGGACUAUCAUGGUCCAAUGUAGGCCAAUUAAUAUAAUAGGGUAUCUAAUGUAUCCUGAAUGCAAUUUGGUAACCAUAGAGGUUACCAAAUUGAGAGGUCGAGAACGAGAAACUGAGGGUUCUCACCUAGCUAACCAGGUGGACUGACGACAUCAAGCGAGUCGCAGGGAUUCGCUAGAUGCAGCCGGCUCAAGAUCCUGAUGUUGGGAAGUCCCUACAAAAGGCCCAUGUACUGCAGUGGACGUCCAUCGGCUGAUAUAAUGAUAAUAACGGCGACUUGCACAGACGAUCGACGAGAGAUCAAGUAGCCCAGGAUCAUCCAAACAGCUUGCUCUUCAGUUUGGCAUAUUGAGAUGCCCUAAUAUAGGUAAGACUCAAGAGACCUGCGCUUGUUCCUGAAAAUAGCAGUUCAUUUAAUUGCUCUACUGGUAUGGAAUCUAAAGAUGCUUCAAAACAAUGUAAAGUUGUUCCAUCGUCGUAAUACAUAUGCUACCUCUGUCAACUUGUCCCAAAACCACAUGCUAUCUCUCCAUUUUUUGUCCUGAUUUACGUACUAGUUUAUAGUACACUUAGUUAAAAUCAAACAAAAUACUUUUUAUACGAUUUUAUUUUGAAAAGUAGGUAAGUAUGCACAUGUUACGAUACGCACACAAACGAGACAUGAUUUUACACAAGGUAAUAAAAAGUUAAAGACUAAGCACAACUAGUCUAGUUCAACCAUUUUGACAAUUGAAAAUAUUUUUUUUUUUU
Bicyclus anynana (squinting bush brown) is the source of this 3410-nucleotide long non-coding RNA. RefSeq lists it as uncharacterized. NCBI's taxonomy places the organism in Eukaryota, Metazoa, Arthropoda, Insecta, Lepidoptera, Nymphalidae. The transcript is spliced from 3 exons. The record is from RefSeq and is a predicted model, not a curated record.